CUGGCGGUGUACUCCCAGGACAGCUCCGACUCGGUGAGGACCUCGUCGCCGAAGUACUCGCCGUCGCCGAGCACCCCGAGCGACCGCUCGGCGCCGUACUCGCCGGGACCGAACUUCCCAAUCUUGCCGUGGGCGAUGAGGAACACCUCGUCGGCGGGCGCGCCCGUCUCGGCGAGCACGUCGCCCGGGGCGUACUCCCGCUGGACGAAGCGGUCGGCGAGACCGGCGAGCGCGCCGCCGUCGAAGCCGCGCAGCGCGGGCAGCUCAGCGAGCUCGCCGGGCACCACCCGCACCUCGGAUCCGACGGAGGUGAACGUGACGAGCCCGUCGCCGAGGACGUAGGUCAACCGCCGGUUGACCCGGUAGACGCCGCCGGCGGUCUGGACCCAGGGCAGCACCCGCAGCAGCCACCGCGAGGUGAUCUCCUGCAUCUGCGGGACGGACUUGGUGGUCGUCGCGAGGUUGCGCGCGGCCGCCGUGCUCAGACUCAGCCGGGGGUCCUCGC
Non-coding RNA from Frankia alni, 505 nucleotides. It matches the Rfam family "Saccharopolyspora sRNA 350". NCBI's taxonomy places the organism in Bacteria, Bacillati, Actinomycetota, Actinomycetes, Frankiales, Frankiaceae. The record is from Rfam.